GUGAGUGCGUACGUAUGCCUACAUGUCUACUCUGUGUGCGUGUGUCUGUGUGUGUGUGUGUGUGUGUGUGUGUGCUUAUGUGUGUGUGUGUGUGUGUGUGUGU
Long non-coding RNA from Alosa sapidissima (American shad), 103 nucleotides. RefSeq lists it as uncharacterized. NCBI's taxonomy places the organism in Eukaryota, Metazoa, Chordata, Actinopteri, Clupeiformes, Clupeidae. The record is from RefSeq and is a predicted model, not a curated record. The transcript is spliced from 3 exons.